UCCUGGCUCAGAUUGAACGCUGGCGGCAUGCCUUACACAUGCAAGUCGAACGGCAGCACGGGAGCAAUCCUGGUGGCGAGUGGCGAACGGGUGAGUAAUGUAUCGGAACGUACCUUUCAGUGGGGGAUAACGUAGCGAAAGUUACGCUAAUACCGCAUAUUCUGUGAGCAGGAAAGCAGGGGAUCGCAAGACCUUGCGCUGAUUGAGCGGCCGAUAUCAGAUUAGCUAGUUGGUGAGGUAAAGGCUCACCAAGGCGACGAUCUGUAGCGGGGUCUGAGAGGAUGAUCCGCCACACUGGAACUGAGACACGGUCCAGACUCCUACGGGAGGCAGCAGUGGGGAAUUUUGGACAAUGGGGCGUCAAGCCUGAUCCAGCCAUGCCGCGUGAGUGAAGAAGGCCU
Molecule: ribosomal RNA, 401 nt
Filed under: uncultured bacterium
Lineage: Bacteria
Description: bacterial SSU rRNA
Rfam family: Bacterial small subunit ribosomal RNA
Source: RNAcentral